This 253-nucleotide unclassified non-coding RNA is filed under the name Aliivibrio wodanis. Its description in RNAcentral is "putative sRNA". Lineage: Bacteria; Pseudomonadati; Pseudomonadota; Gammaproteobacteria; Vibrionales; Vibrionaceae. The record is from RNAcentral.
GCUAUUUUUUUAUGUGUUUUAAGAGCAGAGUUCAGAUCGGUCGCAAGCUCCCUUGCAGAGUUCAGGGGCGAUCGUUGUUAUUCCAGUGUUCACAAUACUGUUCCUCCCCUUGUUCACAAAUGUGACUUGGUUUUCAAUGCCAAUAUAAGGGGAGGCUAGGAGGGGUUGUAAAUGAUGAAGUUCGGUUUAUCUGAAUAACGUAAAAACAGCAUAACCAACCCCCUCUAACUCCCCCUUGUAUUAACUAUGUUGA